UGGGAGUUUAAGGUAAAGAAGUAAGAGUAGAUGCGAUUGGGAGAGAUGAGAAGGACAGUAGGAAUCAAGGAACCUCCUGUCAACCCCUUGUGUCUGAUAUGUUGUGUAAGAGUUUUUGACUGUCUUCAUUUAUCAAAAUUCUGUCUAUGUAUUGUAAUCUUCUGGUUUCAUUUUUUUAUUGUCUAUGCAAGAGGUAUGACUUCUCGUUUUUCUAGUAUCCAUAUCAAUGUUAAUGAAUAAUCUUUUAAAUCGUAGAAAAAUCAAUUGUUUCAGAUGUAUGGGGCUAAUUAUUGUGUUUCCUGUGUGAAUACCAUUAUGGAGUAGAU
This 326-nucleotide long non-coding RNA is filed under the name Mytilus galloprovincialis (Mediterranean mussel). Lineage: Eukaryota; Metazoa; Mollusca; Bivalvia; Mytilida; Mytilidae. The record is from RNAcentral.